This 433-nucleotide ribosomal RNA is filed under the name uncultured bacterium. RNAcentral describes it as "partial 16S ribosomal RNA". It matches the Rfam family "Bacterial small subunit ribosomal RNA", at positions 29 to 507 of the family's 1533-position model. The record is from RNAcentral.
AACGAACGCUGGCGGCAUGCCUAACACAUGCAAGUCGAACGAGACCUCCCGGUCUACUGGCUCACGGGUUCGUGACGCGUGGGAACCUGCCCUUAGGUUCUGACUAACUCUUCGAAAGGGGUGCUAAUACCGGGUAAUAUCUUCGGACAAAAGCCUUAUCGCCUUUGGAUGGGGCCGCGUUGGAUUAGCUAGUUGGUAGGGUACAAGCAUACCAAGGCGACGAUGCAUAGCUGGGUGGCGAGGAGGCUCAGCCACACUGGGAAUGAGACACGGCCCCGACUCGGAGGGAGGGGAGCGGUGGAGAACAUUAGAGAAGGGGGGGUGGUGUGAUGCAGCAGUGUGGGGGAAGAGGUGAAGGCGGUAGUGUUGUAAAGCUGCUUUAGCCGGGACGAUAAUGACGGUACCGAGAGAAGAAGCACCGGCUAACUACGUG